Molecule: RNA transcript, 1123 nt
Organism: Zea mays
Lineage: Eukaryota; Viridiplantae; Streptophyta; Magnoliopsida; Poales; Poaceae
Gene name: E3 ubiquitin-protein ligase pseudogene
Exons: 2
Source: RefSeq, marked validated
CUCUCUCUCCCCUCACAGCGAAGUCGUCGUCUCCUCCCACUCGAUGCCGCAACCUCGUGAGGGCAAGUGCACAGGUUCCAUGCCCACGCCCCCGUCAAUCACGCGAUUUCCUUGCCGUGAAUGUCGUCCAAUCUCUCCUCGCCGUCGGCGUUGCGCACCCCCACGCUCUCAUCCACUCCACGACUCGCCUGUCCUCCAAGUAAGUGGGCACGUGGCGGAUCCGGUGCAGCCGACCCUGGGAGGAGCGCAUCGCGGCCUCCACGCCCUCAUCCACUCCUACACGUGCCGGAGGUGGCGCUGGCCAAGUUGUCGGAUGACGAGGAAAACGACGACGCCUACUACUACGGCGCCGGUGACACGUCGUGUUCCACACUGAUGACUUCGAGCACGGCGGCGUUGUCUACUCGCUCCUGUUCCUUCUUUUCCUCCUGCUCUGCUGGUGCGUGCCCGUGGUCGGCUACAACAUGAACUUGGCCUCUGUCGGCCAGGGUGCCUCCGACAAGCAGUUCGGCACGCUGUCGCGGUGGCGGUUCAAGGAGCCCGACGUGGCAACGAAUCGAGAGCGCGAUGACCAGGUGAGUAAAUUAAAUUAGAUUCGUCUCUCCAUCGUCGAUGAGUGCCACGACCUCGAGGUCCAGCUCUCUCCUCCUCAUUCCCGCCUGUCCCCAGAAGCAGUCGCGUGCUUCGCGGUGCCUCACUCUGCUGCUACACCAUCGCCGCCGCCGCGGUGGCUGAGCAGAGCCGCAUCAAGGCGCAGAACCCCAUCAUCGAGAUGGACGAGGAUGAGAUGACAGGGUCAUCUAGAAGAUGAUAAAGGAUAAGGUCUAUGGAUUUUAUAAUUGUUUUCUGGUGGUUUUGAUCCAUAGUAACCUCUAAUCUGAUCACUUGAUGGUUUGCUGAUGCGAGUGGGACAUAAUGGGAUUGAAAUGUGUGUAGCUCAUCUUCCCAUACCUGGAGUUGGAUGUGAAGUAUUACGACCUUAGCAACAAGGGCAAGUCUUCACUAUGCAAACAUGUACUUGUACUUCGGGAUAGUGCUAUUGUUUCCCUGUUGUUUUUUUACUUCAGCUACAAUGUCUCCUUCAGUCCAAAACAAGCUGGCUAGCAUGCUACAUAUUAUUUGA